CAGAGAAGCCGUGUGAAGAAUAUCGAACCAUUCGUUGACUUAAUGAAACUGGGACCUUUGCCAUUUCUCCCUAAAUAAGGAGGUACUGUAAAAGGUUUGUUUCCCGGGUGUCUUAACCCAGAGAUGUGGUCCUGUCUUUGCCUGUGCAUCUUUAGGUAGGCUGAGAGAGGCUAGGAGCAUGUGAUCUGCUGUGGAUGAUUGUCCAGGUGCACAUCACAGCACCAUCCCUCCUCACCCACUGUUAGAUCAGCUGCCUGUGAUCAUGUUCCUGUGUAUCCAUGGCUGGUGCCCAUCCCUUGUGAGGAGUAGAACGUUGGGAUCAGUGCUUGCCACACAGGCACGCAUGCCUGCUUGCUAACAUUAUAUACUCAUGCAUUAGCUCAUUCAUUUCAACAAACCCAUUUGGAAAGCAAGAUGCAAAUGCAGCCUGAGGGUGUAAAGAAUAUAGGCACGAAGAGAUCUCUCAAAAUUCUUUACAUGGUAAAGAAUUUACUAACUGUGAAGGUUUUUAACAAAUGGAAAAUUCAUUCGUCUCCUUAACCAAAUGAAAAACUAAUAAAACAGUUAAGGAAACUUUUUCUUGGGCAACAUUUUGACCUUUUGGCAACUACUUUAUAACUACAGAAAUCAAGAAAAGCCAAAAUAUACUUUGUCUUCUACAAGCUUUCGUGUCACCUAUAGCUAGUGUAAGGAUUCCACUGUCCAGUAGUCAGUAGAUCUGCAGAGUACCCUUAAAGUGGAAGACUUAAAGGUCUCCAAGGUCUCCAGUUAUAGCUCAGUGGUAAGAUGCUUAGCUAGCAAGCAUGAACCACGGGGUCCCCAGCUCCACACAAGACAAAACAGCCAUGUUAACAUGUGAUUGAUGCUCAGAUAGCUGGUGUGAUAUUAGCAGGGCAGCUGAUGUCCUUUGGGCCCUGGCGAUGGUUUCUGCUGGUUCUCUCCAGCUUUACUCUAUAAUGGCUUUACUCUCUGGAUGGAGACCUAAGUACAGAAUCCUCUAGAUGGGUUGAUUUCUCAUCUGGAAUGACAGCAGGUCUAUUACUAGGGUUCCACACUACAAGGUUCUACCUCACUAAUUCAAGAACAGGUCUAUCACUUAAAUCCCCUUGAUGUGUUCCAGUGGCACUGUGCAUGGCGAAAUGCCUUUAAAGAGUACCUCAUCGUGUUUAUUGUGGAGCAUUAACUGAGUGCCCUGGAACGAUCGCUGAGAUCCAGUUUCUUCCGUCAUAUACACACAGGGUUAAUAGAAGAAAAACCAAACACUAAUUACCAUGCAAUGUGACCAGGGCUCUGAUAGAGAGAGGGUCAAGAGAGAAUGAGCCACCUGGGGAAAGGCAGGAUGGUCGUAUCAAGAUAAAAGAAAAGCCCAUCCCCUGGGCGUGUCCUUGAGACUGUAGAAAACAGCAAGGUGGAAGGGGCCACACUUGAGCCUGUGGAGUAGAGAAGCUUACUGUCUGAGUGAGUGAGGUCUCACACAGACAUCCUGAGCACCAACAGCCAUCAUCCUCAUUUGGUUUGUUAUAGCAUGGGUAGAAUGCUCUAGUGGAUAUGAAGUAAAUGGUAUGGACUUUGCCUUGUAAUUCAGAGCAAUCGCCUGUGUGUGUCCCACACAAAUUAAGUUCUACAAGACAAAAGCAAAUUCUCCUAUCCUAGAUCCUAACAUAAUUCUUACUACAUGAAUUCUUGCAUACCCAGAGCCAUUGUCAUAUAUGGGAAGAGGAAAAAAUACAAAGUGCUGCUUAUCAGAGUGUUUGAAACAUAUGGCAAUAACUAAUAGCACAUACAUUUCAAUGGGGGAGUUUUAUUAAAAUUAAUUGUUGACAAAUAAUACGCGUGAUCCUAAGUAGACAGAGGAAGUUCAUGAGAAGGUGACCUUAAAGAGUGAUGAUACUACAGAAUUAGUAACUGCCAUACAUUUCCUUUUCCCCAAAGAUGAAGGGAAAAAAUAGAGGUUAUCAAAAAAA
Molecule: long non-coding RNA, 1964 nt
Filed under: Mus musculus (house mouse)
Lineage: Eukaryota; Metazoa; Chordata; Mammalia; Rodentia; Muridae
Description: Linc-AAM
Source: RNAcentral